RNAcentral lists this ribosomal RNA (997 nucleotides) under uncultured organism. Its description in RNAcentral is "bacterial SSU rRNA". It matches the Rfam family "Bacterial small subunit ribosomal RNA", at positions 23 to 1014 of the family's 1533-position model. The record is from RNAcentral.
CUCAGAAUGAACGCUGGCGGCAUGGCUAAGACAUGCAAGUCGAACGGACCAUAUAAUUGGGUAACCGAAAGUAUGGUUAGUGGCGAAAGGGUGAGGAAUAGAUAGGAACGUACCCUGUGCUCUGGGAUAGCGUCUGAAGCUUCGGCUUCUUCCGAAAGGGGCGGUAAUACCAGAUAAUGUCCUUCGGGACCAAAGAUUUAUCGGCAUUGGAGCGGCCUAUCUCCUAUCAGCUUGUUGGUGAGGUAACGGCUCACCAAGGCAACGACGGGUAGCGGGACUGAGAGGUUGGCCCGCCACAUCGGGACUGAGACACUGCCCGGACCUCCACGGAGGGCUGCAGUAACGGAUAUUGGGCAAUGGGCGAAAGCCUGACCCAGCAAUGCCGCGUGCAGGAUGAAGCCCCUAGGGGUGUAAACUGCUGUCAGGGGUCAGAAAGCUGGUUUCGGCCAGUUGAUCAACCCCAGAGGAAGUCACGGCUAACUUCGUGCCAGCAGCCGCGGUAAUACGAAGGUGGCAAGCGUUAUUCGGAAUCAUUGGGCUUAAAGGGCACGCAGGCGGAACAGUGUGUGUUGUGUGAAAUCCCCCGGCUUAACCGGGGAAUUGCACAGCAAACUGCUGUUCUUGAGGCAGGUAGGGGUGCAUGGAACUCUUGGUGGAGCGGUGGAAUGCGUAGAUAUCAAGAGGAACGCCAGAGGUGAAGACGGUGCACUGGGCCUGUCCUGACGCUGAGGUGCGAAAGCGUGGGGAGCGAACGGGAUUAGAUACCCCGGUAGUCCACGCCGUAAACGAUGUCUACUAGGUCGUGGGUGUUCUGACACAUUCACGGCCGGAGCAAAAGUGUUUAGUAGACCGCCUGGGGAGUACGGCCGCAAGGUUAAAACUCAAAUGAAUUGACGGGGGCUCACACAAGCGGUGGAGCAUGUGGAUUAAUUCGAAGCAACGCGCAGAACCUUACCUGGGUUUGACAUGCUUGUAUGCCUUCUCUGAAAGGAGUUAG